Molecule: non-coding RNA, 242 nt
Filed under: Faecalibacterium prausnitzii
Lineage: Bacteria; Bacillati; Bacillota; Clostridia; Eubacteriales; Oscillospiraceae
Description: T-box sequence
Rfam family: T-box leader
About the family: Uncharged tRNA acts as the effector for transcription antitermination of genes in the T-box leader family.
Source: RNAcentral
GAAAACGCAGCGACGGAGAGAGUACGCACGCAGUUCCACAGCAAAGAGAGAAGCUUCACCGGCUGAAAGGGCUUCCGCGUGGGUGUGUGCCGAAGUUCGCUCCUGAGCGGCCUGCCCGAACGGCUUCUAUUAGGGCAGGACGGCGCGCCCCGUUACGGCGUUUGAGAGCCGCCCUUCUUUGUGCAGGGCGGAAACCGGGUGGUACCGCGGAGCAUUGGAUUUGCAAAGGCUUCGUCCCUUUU